Molecule: unclassified non-coding RNA, 391 nt
Filed under: soil metagenome
Description: partial contains 5.8S ribosomal RNA, internal transcribed spacer 2, and large subunit ribosomal RNA
Rfam family: 5.8S ribosomal RNA (bases 1-122)
Source: RNAcentral
GAUGAAGAACGUAGCGAAAUGCGAUACUUGGUGUGAAUUGCAGAAUCCCGUGAACCAUCGAGUCUUUGAACGCAAGUUGCGCCCGAAGCCACUAGGCCGCGGGCACGCCUGCCUGGGCGUCACACGCCGUUGCCCCCCCAUCUACUCCUUCGGGAUUGCGGGGGGGCGGAUGAUGGCCUCCCGUGCGCCUAGCCGCGCGGUUGGCAUAAAUACCAAGUCCUCGGCGACGCACGCCACGACAAUCGGUGGUUGCGAAACCUCGGUUGCCCGUCGUGUGCGUUCGUCGCGCAUCGAGGGCUCGAAAAAAUGCUCGGCUCCGGCUGGGCUUUCAACGCGACCCCAGGUCAGGCGGGGUUACCCGCUGAAUUUAAGCAUAUCAAUAAGCGGAGGA